GGUCUGAUGCCAGCUCCUGCAGUGGGGCCACGGCUCAGGAAAGCAGCACUGAACAUUGGGGUAGGGGAAGGGGCCCUUAGGGAGAUUCCAGGGUCUCUAGAAUGGGUUCUGUCUGGGGCUGACUUAUCUGUCCUGUGUGCCAUGGAGACCAGAUGGAGAGCUGCGGACAGGCGUGUGUCCUGCUCUGGUUCCAUCUUGGUACGUAUGCCCAUCUGCAAGGCAGAGGGGAAGGAAGAAAGGAGCAGCCUCCUGCCCUGCUUUCCUGUGCUGCUCUCUCCUGCACAGCCCUGCU
Molecule: long non-coding RNA, 292 nt
Filed under: Gallus gallus (chicken)
Lineage: Eukaryota; Metazoa; Chordata; Aves; Galliformes; Phasianidae
Description: lncRNA (ENSGALG00010003679.1)
Source: RNAcentral